GUCACGGGGCGAGCCCCGGCAGCGUCCGCGGUAACUUGCCAUGGCGAUGGGCAGCGGCGGUGCAGGCUCGGAGCAGGAGGACGCGGGGCUGUUCCCACGUGGCACCGGCCAGAGUGAUGAUUCUGACAUUUGGGAUGAUACGGCAUUGAUAAAAGCUUAUGGUAAAGCUGUGGCUUCCUUUAAGCAUGCUCUGAAGAAUGUUGACGUUUGUGAGGAGAGAGGAGAGAGGAAGUUUGUGAAACUUCAGAUAAGCCAAAAGGCACAGCUAGAAGAAAACCUGCUAAGAAGAAUAAAAACCAAAAGAAGACUGCCACGCCUCCCUUGAAACAGUGGAAAGUUGGUGACAGAUGUUCUGCCACUUGGUCAGAAGACGGCUGUGUUUACCCAGCUACCAUUGCUUCCAUUGAUUUCAAGAGAGAAACCUGUGUUGUGCUUUACACUGGAUAUGGAAACAGAGAGGAGCAAAAUCUGUCUGAUCUCCUUUCCCUAACCUGUGAAGUAGCUAAUCAUGCAGAACAGAGCACUCAGGAGGGCCAUACAAAUGCUGGGCAAGUGCUCUGCCUCUGCAUAGCAAAAAUGUUUAUUUUUCUUUAUAAAGAAUGAAAGAAAGUCAAGCUUCAACAAACGACAGUGAAAACUCCUCCAGAUCCCUCGGAAGUAAACCACACAGCAAGUCCAAAGCUGCUGCAUGAAACUCGUUUCUCCCUCUACCACCCCCAAUGCCAGGGUCAGGAUUGGGACCAGGAAAGACUGUGGGACCUUGCACCUGGGAGGCGAGUGCUGUCCCCUGAGCUACACCCUCCGCUUUAGUGAGUGAGUGAGUGAGGUCACGUCAUUGGUCAGGAGUAUCACUGACAGUGAAGGGAGAAAAGGGUUUCAGACAAAAUAAAAAAGAAGGAAAGCGCUCACAUACAAAUUAAACAGUUCAGCUCUCUGCCAAGGAGGUGGUAUGUUGGUGUCCCUGGUCAAUAUGAACAGAUGUCUCAUCGUCAUCUUGUGGACUCUUGGCUGAGUGGUGUCAUCACCAGUGUUUUCCCGUUCUGGGUCUGGGCCUAGCUCACCAGUGGGGUGUGUUUAGAGCACGAUCACUUUGAGGAACAGAAUGGUGGAACUGUGAGCACGUGGAAGUCAGUCUGCCAAAGCUGUGACUGAGCACACCUGUACAAUUGUAACUUCCUUAGUGUGUCGAGAUUUUUACUCAUGCCUUUACAAACAAAUAAAGUCCUUUUUUGAAAUAUUUUCCUUUGGGAUAUAUACAGUGAAGUUGAGUCUGUUUAAAGAUACAGGAAGAAAACUACUCAGACUUAUUACCUGGGUAAAGGGUGAUUUCUGAAGGUGGGACAAAUUGAUAAUUUAGGAUUGGGAAACAAAAGCUAGUUCGUAUCACAGGGUCUACACUGGCUAGCCAGGAAUCAAGGUGAGUUCUGGGUUAUGUGUGUGUGUGUGUGUGUGUGUUUCCCAUGGCUCAAAUCUGGAGGUCGGAGAAUGGCUGUGUGUGUGUGUGUGUGUGUGUGUGUGUGUGUGUGUGUGUGUGUGUGUGUGUUUCCCAUGGCUCAAAUCUGGAGGUUGGAGAACGGCUUGUGAAGUCUUGGCUCUUCUUCCUACUGUGUAGGUUCUAGGUAUUGAAUCCAGGUUGUUGGUUGGCAGGUGCCUUUACCUGCUGAGCCGUCUCACCAGCCCUGUUCUUCACUUUUUUGAAAGAGUUUUGUGCAGUCUGAGUUUCCUGCAAUUUACAGCCCUCUUGACUCUGCCCCCAAAUGCUGACGUCACAGGCAGUACCACCACACUGUAGCUGAAGUUUUCCUGUGUCCACCUGGCUCUUGCAGCCACUCAGAUCCAAGUAAACACACAGAGACUUAUAUUACUUAUAAACUGUAUGGCUGUGGCAGGCUUCUUGCUAUCUAGUUCUUAUAUCUUAAAUUAACCCAUUUCUAUUAAUCUGUAAGUUACCAUGUGGCUUGUGGCUUACCUGUACUUUUACAUCUUGCUUCUCAUGGCGGCGGCAGCUGGCUGCAUCUCGUGAUUCAGCCUUCCCUUCCCAGAAUUCUCCUCUCUCUUUAUCCUGCCUAUACUAUACUUCCUGCCUGGCUACUGGCCAAUCAGUGUUUUAUUUAUCAAUCAGAGCAACACAUUCACAGUGUACAGAAAGACAUCCCCAGCACCACACCUGUGUUGUCUUUUAGAAGCUGUAUUGUUCUCUUUGCACCCUCCCUUGUCUGUCUUUCUAGUCUCCCUCUCUCCCCCUGAUGUUCCUUACCUCCUCACCUCACCUCCUUACCUCCUGCCUGACCCAAUUGCCCCUUGUUGCUCAAAUCUUAAAAGGUCUUAUAAUAUAAAACUCAGAACCAGAUAUUGGGGUAAUGCUGAAAGAUCAGAGAGACAAAGGAACAAGCCACUGCCACGUCUUACCUCUUGAACUCUUCAGCCUGAAAAACCUCUAGUUCCUGUCUCCUCAUGCCUUAUAUACCUUUCUCUGCCUAGCCAUCACUUCCUUCUUAGUGCCUGGAUUAAAGGCUGUGACUCCCAAGUAUUGGGAUUAAAGGUGUGUGCCACCACUGCCUGGCUCUGUUUCUCCUAGACUGAGUCAAUCUCAUGUAGUCCAGGGUGGCUUUGAACUCACAGAGAUCCAGAUGGAUCUCUGCCUUCUGAGUGCUAAGGUGUGUGCCACUUCUGCCUGGCCUCUAUGUUUAAUCUAGUGGCUUGUUCUGUUCUCUGAUUUUCAGGCAAAUCUUAUUAGGGUACACAAUAUAUCACCACAGCCCUUACCGUUCUCUCCCAUCGUGGCCUUGCAGUUCCGUGUGUACCUUCAUUAGAGUCUUGUGGUGAGGGUUGGUGUCAAGCACUCAGGCUUCUCCCUGGUUCAUUCACCUCUGGAGGAAAAGGUUAAGAGAUCAGCUCUGUUGAGCUGGAGAUGGAGCCCAUGGUAGAGCUUGCCUUACAUGUCCAAGGCCCUGGGUUUUAUCUCCACUACCAUAAAAACAAUAUGGUAAAUGCCAUUCCUUUCCUAAGUUUUGAGUAGGUAAACUAAAUUAACUAAGCUCCCUAUGCGCCUAGCAUAUUAGCUGUCAAGUAAGUAUUAUUAAAUUAAUGAAUAGUCAAUAUCUAGUAAGUAGCUUUGCAAAAUAUGACUUGAGCUUUUAGAGGGAAUAUUACCUUUCAUGACAGUUGGCUAUUAUAGAUUUGGCACAGCUUAAUUGGUUAAUUUGCAAGUUAAAUUUAAUUACUAAUAUAUCCAGUUAACUUCCAACCAGAUAUUAGACAUUAACAUUAAUUUUAAUUCCCUUUAGUACCCAAUACAUUUACUUGGACUGACAUUAUUCAUUCUGGCAAAUACUCAACUUUUUUUAAGUGCUGGGAGUUGCUCUUGGUGAAACUAGGAUGCCUUGUAUGUUGGCAUAUGAUACAGCACCAGUUACUUGAAAAGCUGAGGUGGUAGGAUUCAUCAUUUAAGACCAGCCUGGCCAACAAGAGACCACAUCUAAUGCAGUAACAACAAAGGGAAGGCUGAACUAAAGACAAUAGGCAGUGGAGAUGGCUCAGUGGGAGAAGGGCAGCGCAGAGGGACAGCAAGAGCAUCACUGGUUUGUCGGCCAUCAGCCUGGCCUCAAAGCCCCAAGUUCCAGGUUCUCAAGGGAAUAGUGCAGGCGGUGACAAAGACACCCGUGGUGACCUUUGGCACGUAGACAUGGGCAUCCAUACCCACGCAUACACAUGCACUCUGUCAUCUCAGACACAAUGGAAAAUAGCCUACAGGGGGUGGUUAGAAAGCUUAUAUUGGCUCACAGUUCUGGAGGAUCAGGGCUGGUGAUUUUGUCUAGUGUGCUGAGCUUGAAUCAGUCAUAAUAGUGCAAGAGGCAAUGAGCAUGAUUUGUGUGCUUUGUGUAUGUGUUCAUACCUGGCCUCUCAGGAAGCCACUAGGAUUCAGUGGGAGCUUCAUCUUGAUGACCUUAUCCUAAAUACCUUCCAAAGGCCCCAGCUGUAAGCACAGUAGAUUAAGUUCCCAUUCCUAGUAGCUCACAGUAGGGAUGGCAUUUCCAAACCAUGGCAUGAGGGAACAUCCUAGGAAAAGCAACAGCAACGCCUUUGCCUAAGAAUGUGUGUGGAAUAGUCAAGGACAGGCAAGGAGGCCAGUGGCCAGAGUGAGAGGAAGCAUAAGGAGAUGGGGAUGAGCAGGGGCCAAGGGUCAGGCCGUACAUAGGCCACUGUGAGGUUGAGAGCAUUUCCCUAUAGCUGGGAGGCCAGUGGGGAAUAGUGAGGCAGAGGUAGAGCAUGACCUGACCUCCAUCAGUAGGAGCCUCUGACCACUCAGCUGGAUGAGGUGUUCCAGGAAGUGCACUCACACACAGUCAGGAGAACUCAGAUGCCCCCCAGUGGUAAAAGAGGAACAGCAGAGGACUGAGCUGUAGCUGUCUGAGGAGGAAACCAGGAGUGAAGCUCUAAGGUCAGAUGAAGCAGGUGUUUCCUAGAGACCAGUGAUUCGCCCAUCAGUAGUAGCUCACAUGCUGGUAGCAGGACAAGUAAGAUGAAGGCCACAACACAGUCACUGAACGUACUAACGUGGAGGUCGCUGGGGAUGCCAAAACAGCUGUUUCAGUGAGAUGGAAGAGAUAAAAGCUUGGGGGAGAGGAUGUAAGCAUGAAAGAACACUCACCCGUGCUUGUAAAGAACUCUUCCAAUGAAAGUUGUUUUCUAGCUUAGUAAAAUCAUAUUUAAUAUCUAUUUUUAUGAGUUUACAGUUAUUGUUACUUAUUUCAGUUGUGCUCUAUGUGUACUAUUCUUUGAUAUAAAAUUGACUUCCUGGUUUUGUUUUGCUUUUUUUUUUUUUAAACUUAAAAAUGAAGCAGAUGUUCAGAAAAGCAGCCCAUUUGAAGGAGUCAGAGUUGGGAUAUGGAGUAUGUGACCAGAAAUAGACAUUUCAGUAGUUUUGUUUUUCCUUUUUAAGUGCUGAGGAAUAAAUCAGAACCAUUGAACUCUUAUUAGAAAUGUUUCUUUUUUUCUUUUCUUAUUUAUUGUUUUAUGGGCAUGGGUGUUUUGUCUGCAUAUAUAUGUGUGUAUCAUGUGUUUGACUGGUAUCCAAGAGGCCAGAAAAGGAUGUUGGAUUUCCUGGAACUGGAGUUACAGAUGACUGUAAACUCCCAUGGGACUGAUGGGAAUUGAACCUGGGUCCUCUGCAAGAACCAUGACUGCUUUUAACCACUGAGCCAGGUCUUCUGGAAGAGCAGCCAGUGCUCUUAACUGCUGAGCCAUCUCUCCAGGCCUUACUUAAUUUUAUACUGAUUUUCUUAUGUAUUUUCAGCAGUGCUGGAGAUUGUGCUUAGGAUCUCAGGAACACUGUGUAGGCACACACUUUUGAACUACACCUCAACCUUGAAUUUUUAUAUUAAAUAUUAAAAUAACAGGCAAUUUAUAAAACAAAAUAGGACAAAAGGGAGGAAAUAAUUAAGACCACCUACCUCAGUACUCAGAGAUAACCAAUGCAAAUUAUUUUUUAUUUUUAACUUUAGGAAUCUUUUUCCAAGAUUUAUUGUAGGAUAACUGAAAAAAGGCAUAUAUAUUUAAAGUACAUAGGUGUUUCUUAUAUGCAUUAUGUGUUGGGACAUGGUCCAAGAAUAGAGUCGUGUGAGGAGAAUUCUGAGUGCUUGUGAUUUCUUCAAAACACAGAAUUGUUCUUGGAAUGUGUCUUUGUGUUCCUCCUAGGUAUAGCAGAUAGGACUGAGUUUACUUCAGAUUACUCAUUAUUGCUUACUGUUGUUAUUCAAUUAAAUGCUUAAAUUAUCCUUUAUUUGCCUCUUUAGAGAGGUUCUCAGCCUUCCUAAUGUUUCAGUCCUUUAAUACAGCUCCUCAUGUUGUGACCCCCCAAUCAUAAAAUUGUUUUUGUUGCUACUUCAUAACUGUAGUUUUGCUACUGUUAUGAAUCGUAAUGUAAAUAUCUGUGUUUUCCGAUGGUCCCAGGUGACCGCUGUGAAGGGGUCAUUUGACCCCCAAAUGGUCUUGACCAACAAAUUGAGAACUGCUCUUCUGUAGAAAAACAUGUUUUUUUUUGCCACACGCAGCUUGUUUUUGUGAUUGUCUACGGCUUGAACACAAGAGAACUUUACUUAGGUGACCUCCCUUAACCCCCAGAGUAUAAAUUAUCUGAUGCUCUGAAUAAAGCUGGCUAUUGCAUGA
Long non-coding RNA from Peromyscus californicus insignis, 6168 nucleotides. RefSeq lists it as uncharacterized. Lineage: Eukaryota; Metazoa; Chordata; Mammalia; Rodentia; Cricetidae. The record is from RefSeq and is a predicted model, not a curated record. The transcript has 8 exons.